This is a non-coding RNA of Lolium perenne, 1976 nucleotides long. NCBI's taxonomy places the organism in Eukaryota, Viridiplantae, Streptophyta, Magnoliopsida, Poales, Poaceae. The record is from RefSeq and is a predicted model, not a curated record.
AGGCAGCUCAUGGGGUCAGUGCAUCAUGUUUCAUCUUCAACCUCCUGCCCGUCGCCGCGUUUUCCCCGGCGAGAACGUGCGCGCCUCCCGCAGCUCCCCGCGCGUCCAGGUGAGGUGCAUCUGGGGGAGGUGAACUUCCACCGCCUUAUCCUCAGCGCCCGAGGCCUAUCCCUCUCCCUCUGCAUCGCUAUCUCCCGAGAAACCACCGCGAGUACACCGGUCGCCGCCGCUCAAUCCGCCUCGGUCGCUCGUCCCCUCGGCCUAUAAAAGGGACCCCCGAGAUUCCCCAGACUCCACCACAGUCCCGCCACUCGGCCCCCUCGAUUUGAGCUCUAGGGAGUCCAAAUUUCGUGACCGAAGUUCACCGCCGUCCGCAACUCCGGCGACGAUUCUGACGCCGGUGAAGCUCGGGAGCCCUCACACCAACGGGAGCACGCCGGCGCUGUGGAUGUCGCUCUCGUCGUUGUCCAACCUCGCCGGAAGUAGCUGACCGUCGCAAGCACUUCGCCCUACAGAGCCGUCCCUCAUUGGCACCUUACUCGUCGGACCUCCGCUGCCGCGAAAUCGACCACGAUCGAGCUCUAGCAGCGAAACACAGGCACCUACCACAUUACGGAGAUUUAUCGUGAGAGUAUUUCGGAGACAAGAAAGAGUUAAUAGUUCAUCAAGAAGAGGCAAGUUACAUCUACAUGUCUAUCCCAUUUAUUUUUGCUAUGCUAUUUUGAUUAUAAAAGUAGGAAUGCAUGCGAUAGUUUUAUUUUGUUAGCCAAGUAUUUUUAGAAAUGGCGAUGUUUUAUAGAGUUAUGUCCUAUGGUAGAAAUAAGCCGUAGGAAUCAUCACCCACUUUGUAACCUUAGGUAAAUGUAUGCUAGAUUAAGUUCUAGUAAAGUUUUGAACUAUAUAGUUAUGCUUAGUCAUGCUAAAAUAAAAUCCGUUGGGGGGUUCAAAUGAAAUAGUGAUUACAAAAUAGAAAUGGUUUGUGAAAUGUGUUUACCAAAUUAAAAUGUAAAAUUAUUUCGUCCUGGGCGGAGUGGUAUGAUGGGUCAUCGCGUGUGGAGCUGUGUGCUCAAAUUGGUUGGGUCCGCCGCCCAGGGACCCCUAAAAGAACAAAUUCAUAUUUAGAAUUGCUCAGUUGUUUCGUGCAACCACAUGUCAUAUGGGCUCUGGCUUGGUUGAUUAUCUUGUGGAAACCUACUUAAGGACCGUCAUCGGUAUGAGACUUUGUGUCUAUUUUGGAGCGGGCGUGCCUGGAAAUAAGUAGUUAGCCAUUUGGGAAAGACCUCGGCAUAACCUUCGGGUUGUGCCAUGUGGUGAAAGUGUGCAACCCCUGCAGGGUGUCGAACUAAUCGAUUAGCCGUGCCCACGGUUACGGGCGAAGCUGAGUAACCUUUACCUGAAGAUGUCUCUUCUCAACUUUGUCUUUCUAAACAUAAAUUGAAUUUCAAACCCUAUGUCCGUGUGUCGUUCAUAGGUGGGAUUUUGGGGAAAGCCCUGUGUUCGUGUGUCGCUCACGGGUACUUUCAUCUAGGCUAGUUGGACUGUGUGACCUCUAGUCAUAUAUUACUUGAUAAAAUUGUUUAUUAAAGAUAGGACGAGUUAGAACUUUGGAAAUGUUAAAAUGUGAUUUAUUGAUGUAAAAUAUUGUUUUGCGCAAAUGUUAAACCCUAUAGCCAUUUCCUUUGAUAUCCCUAAGCAUGUAGAAAUAGGUAUAUUAUUGCAUUGGUGUAACUUGCCACACAUUCAAAGUGUUGACCACUCUCGUGGCUGCAACGUCUCAUGUUGCAGGUUGUUCCGAUGACGAGUGAGAUACGAUGUUAGGGUCACGAUGCUCCAGUCGAUUGCCUGUGGCACAUUUGCUGGAUUCGCCGCUUUAUUUGUCUUCCGCUGUUCAUUUUGGCCUACGGGCAUUUAUGUAAUAAAUAACUAUGUAUCGGAUUUGAUGCGUUGUAAUAAUGAUAUGACUGUGAUAUUUAUCU